Molecule: non-coding RNA, 48 nt
Filed under: Streptomyces sp. NRRL F-5135
Lineage: Bacteria; Bacillati; Actinomycetota; Actinomycetes; Kitasatosporales; Streptomycetaceae
Description: L31-Actinobacteria ribosomal protein leader
Rfam family: L31-Actinobacteria ribosomal protein leader
Source: RNAcentral
UCGGUCCCGGUUCACGUACGCGCAACACGGCGCGUGCGACCCGGAGCC